GAUGAACGCUAGCGGCAGGCCUAAUACAUGCAAGUCGAACGGUGUCUUCGGACAUAGUGGCGCACGGGUGCGUAACACGUAUGCAACCUACCUUACAUUGGGGGAUAGCCUUUCGAAAGGGAGAUUAAUACCGCAUAAGCCAGUAGCUGGGCAUCCAGCAGCUGUUAAAGAUUUAUCGAUGUAAGCUGGGCAUGCGUCCAAUUAGCUAGUUGGUGGGGUAACGGCUCACCAAGGCAAUGAUUGGUAGGGGAACUGAGAGGUCAAUCCCCCACACUGGCACUGAGAUACGGGCCAGACUCCUACGGGAGGCAGCAGUAGGGAAUAUUGGGCAAUGGACGCAAGUCUGACCCAGCCAUGCCGCGUGCAGGAUGAAGGCGUUAUGCGUUGUAAACUGCUUUUAUACAGGAAGAAACGACUCUUGCGAGAGGCAUUGACGGUACUGUAUGAAUAAGCACCGGCUAACUCCGUGCCAGCCGCCGCGGUAA
Molecule: ribosomal RNA, 485 nt
Filed under: uncultured bacterium
Lineage: Bacteria
Description: partial 16S ribosomal RNA
Rfam family: Bacterial small subunit ribosomal RNA
Source: RNAcentral